Molecule: non-coding RNA, 111 nt
Organism: Kalaharituber pfeilii
Lineage: Eukaryota; Fungi; Ascomycota; Pezizomycetes; Pezizales; Pezizaceae
Source: the annotation of a GenBank genome assembly
GGUUCGGUGGUCUAAUGGUAUGGCGUCUACUAGAUAAGGCUACAUCCUGCGAGAAGAAAGCAGGGCUGAGGCAUGAGGUGGGGGAUCUGGGUUCAAGUCCCAGCCAAACCA